RNAcentral lists this ribosomal RNA (460 nucleotides) under uncultured bacterium. RNAcentral describes it as "partial 16S ribosomal RNA". It matches the Rfam family "Bacterial small subunit ribosomal RNA", at positions 338 to 795 of the family's 1533-position model. The record is from RNAcentral.
CCUACGGGUGGCAGCAGUGAGGAAUAUUGGUCAAUGGACGCGAGUCUGAACCAGCCAAGUAGCGUGAAGGAUGACUGCCCUCUGGGUUGUAAACUUCUUUUAUAUGGGAAUAAAACGUUCCACGUGUGGGAUUUUGUAUGUACCAUAUGAAUAAGGAUCGGCUAACUCCGUUCCAGCAGCCGCGGUAAUACGGAGGAUCCGAGCGUUAUCCGGAUUUAUUGGGUUUAAAGGGAGCGUAGGUGGAUUGUUAAGUCAGUUGUGAAAGUUUGCGGCUCAACCGUAAAAUUGCAGUUGAGACUGGCAGUCUUGAGUACAGGAGAGGUGGGCGGAAUGCGUGGUGUAGCGGUGAAAUGCUUAGAUAUCACGAAGAACUCCGAUUGCGAAGGCAGUUCACUGGACUGCAACUGACACUGAGGCUCGAAAGUGUGGGUAUCAAACAGGAUUAGAUACCCUUGUAGUC